UGUAUGGUUAAGUGACUAAGCGUACACGGUGGAUGCCUGGGCAGUCAGAGGCGAUGAAGGACGUACUAACUUGCGAUAAGCGCAGAUAAGGCAGUAAGAGCCGUUUGAGUCUGCGAUUUCCGAAUGGGGAAACCCAACUGCAUAAGCAGUUACUGUUAACUGAAUACAUAGGUUAACAGAGCAAACCGGGGGAACUGAAACAUCUAAGUACCCCGAGGAGAAGAAAUCAACCGAGAUUCCGGUAGUAGCGGCGAGCGAACCUGGAUUAGCCCUUAAGCACUCGGUGAAGUAGGUGAACAAGCUGGAAAGCUUGGCGAUACAGGGUGAUAGCCCCGUAACCGACGCUUCAUCGAGCGUGAAAUCGAGUAGGGCGGGACACGUGAUAUCCUGUCUG
Molecule: ribosomal RNA, 394 nt
Filed under: Vibrio cholerae
Lineage: Bacteria; Pseudomonadati; Pseudomonadota; Gammaproteobacteria; Vibrionales; Vibrionaceae
Description: partial 23S ribosomal RNA
Rfam family: Bacterial large subunit ribosomal RNA
Source: RNAcentral